UCGAGAAUCUUCGGCAAUGGGCGAAAGCCUGACCGAGCGACGCCGCGUGCGGGAUGAAGGCCCUCGGGUUGUAAACCGCUGUCAGAGGGAACGAAAGGUCAUGGGGCUAUCCCCACGAUUUGACCGAUCCUCAGAGGAAGUACGGGCUAAGUUCGUGCCAGCAGCCGCGGUAAGACGAACCGUACGAACGUUAUUCGGAAUCACUGGGCUUAAAGGGUGCGUAGGCGGUGCGGUAAGUUGGGUGUGAAAU
Molecule: ribosomal RNA, 250 nt
Filed under: uncultured bacterium
Lineage: Bacteria
Description: partial 16S ribosomal RNA
Rfam family: Bacterial small subunit ribosomal RNA
Source: RNAcentral